UUGAAAGGGAAACGAUUGAAGUCAGUCGUACCUAUGGGUAAUCAGCCUUUUGGGUGUGAUUUUGUGGAGCGUGAAGAGUUAAACGCCUUCAUGCCUGCAUAUUCGCGCACUUUGGGUGUACUUGCCCGUAUGGUUGGUUAACAUCAAUUUUGGUGGUCAUAAAAUGACUGGAGGAAUGUAGCUUCGAUCUCGUAUUGAAGUGUUAUAGCCUUCGGUAGAUGUGAUGAUCGAGAUUGAGGAUUGCAACGGAUACCUUUCGGGGCUACCUGUCUGAUCUCUGAUCGUUGCUUUGGUGCUGAAAGCGUGCUUAUAGUUAUCAAAGUCGAUGGUCAAUAGGUUAGAAUGGGUUAAAUUCGUUAAGGAUGUUGACGUA
RNAcentral lists this ribosomal RNA (373 nucleotides) under uncultured Glomeromycotina. Its description in RNAcentral is "LSU rRNA". Lineage: Eukaryota; Fungi; Glomeromycota. The record is from RNAcentral.